RNAcentral lists this long non-coding RNA (416 nucleotides) under Setaria viridis. RNAcentral describes it as "long non-coding RNA (SVIR_LNC003892)". The record is from RNAcentral. Lineage: Eukaryota; Viridiplantae; Streptophyta; Magnoliopsida; Poales; Poaceae.
UCGCGUGCUGAGAGUGCAGAGCCUAGACGUGUGUACAAGGCACGCACAAGUGUGUGUCCGCGUGCGUGCAUUUGGUGGAGUGGUGGUGUGUGUGGAUUGUGGACGUCGUGUUUGUGCUCGUAAGAAUUUACGGAAUCGAAGAAAUCGCGUAGAUCUACGAAGAUGCAAUAAAUCAAAUUCAUCCUAUAUUUUUUGAAGCGAAAUGCACCACGUGUGACGUCGAUCAGCACGUGAGAAAUCUUGACGGUUAAGGCCCUGUCUGGAUUGAAGGAAUUUCGGAGGAAUCCAUUUCCUAUGUUUUGCUGAUAUCACGUGUUGUUUGGAACGGAGGAAUGGACCUCGCCGUUCCUCUGGAGAGGCUUUGCUUUCUUCACAAGACGCAGGAACCAAAACAUCCGCUCCGACUCAAAGUUUUC